Molecule: ribosomal RNA, 1707 nt
Filed under: Salmonella enterica subsp. enterica serovar Oranienburg
Lineage: Bacteria; Pseudomonadati; Pseudomonadota; Gammaproteobacteria; Enterobacterales; Enterobacteriaceae
Also listed under: 1 other name
Description: bacterial LSU rRNA
Rfam family: Bacterial large subunit ribosomal RNA
Source: RNAcentral
GAAGGUGGCCUGUGAGGGUUGCUGGAGGUAUCAGAAGUGCGAAUGCUGACAUAAGUAACGAUAAAGCGGGUGAAAAGCCCGCUCGCCGGAAGACCAAGGGUUCCUGUCCAACGUUAAUCGGGGCAGGGUGAGUCGACCCCUAAGGCGAGGCCGAAAGGCGUAGUCGAUGGGAAACGGGUUAAUAUUCCCGUACUUGGUGUUACUGCGAAGGGGGGACGGAGAAGGCUAUGUUGGCCGGGCGACGGUUGUCCCGGUUUAAGCGUGUAGGUGUGUGUUCCAGGUAAAUCCGGUUCACUUUAACACUGAGGCGUGACGACGAGGCACUACGGUGCUGAAGCAACAAAUGCCCUGCUUCCAGGAAAAGCCUCUAAGCAUCAGGUAACAUCAAAUCGUACCCCAAACCGACACAGGUGGUCAGGUAGAGAAUACCAAGGCGCUUGAGAGAACUCGGGUGAAGGAACUAGGCAAAAUGGUGCCGUAACUUCGGGAGAAGGCACGCUGACAUGUAGGUGAAGUGAUUUACUCACGGAGCUGAAGUCAGUCGAAGAUACCAGCUGGCUGCAACUGUUUAUUAAAAACACAGCACUGUGCAAACACGAAAGUGGACGUAUACGGUGUGACGCCUGCCCGGUGCCGGAAGGUUAAUUGAUGGGGUCAGCGCAAGCGAAGCUCCUGAUCGAAGCCCCGGUAAACGGCGGCCGUAACUAUAACGGUCCUAAGGUAGCGAAAUUCCUUGUCGGGUAAGUUCCGACCUGCACGAAUGGCGUAAUGAUGGCCAGGCUGUCUCCACCCGAGACUCAGUGAAAUUGAACUCGCUGUGAAGAUGCAGUGUACCCGCGGCAAGACGGAAAGACCCCGUGAACCUUUACUAUAGCUUGACACUGAACAUUGAGCCUUGAUGUGUAGGAUAGGUGGGAGGCUUUGAAGUGUGGACGCCAGUCUGCAUGGAGCCGACCUUGAAAUACCACCCUUUAAUGUUUGAUGUUCUAACGUGGACCCGUAAUCCGGGUUGCGGACAGUGUCUGGUGGGUAGUUUGACUGGGGCGGUCUCCUCCUAAAGAGUAACGGAGGAGCACGAAGGUUGGCUAAUCCUGGUCGGACAUCAGGAGGUUAGUGCAAUGGCAUAAGCCAGCUUGACUGCGAGCGUGACGGCGCGAGCAGGUGCGAAAGCAGGUCAUAGUGAUCCGGUGGUUCUGAAUGGAAGGGCCAUCGCUCAACGGAUAAAAGGUACUCCGGGGAUAACAGGCUGAUACCGCCCAAGAGUUCAUAUCGACGGCGGUGUUUGGCACCUCGAUGUCGGCUCAUCACAUCCUGGGGCUGAAGUAGGUCCCAAGGGUAUGGCUGUUCGCCAUUUAAAGUGGUACGCGAGCUGGGUUUAGAACGUCGUGAGACAGUUCGGUCCCUAUCUGCCGUGGGCGCUGGAGAACUGAGGGGGGCUGCUCCUAGUACGAGAGGACCGGAGUGGACGCAUCACUGGUGUUCGGGUUGUCAUGCCAAUGGCACUGCCCGGUAGCUAAAUGCGGAAGAGAUAAGUGCUGAAAGCAUCUAAGCACGAAACUUGCCCCGAGAUGAGUUCUCCCUGAGACUUAGAGUCUCCUGAAGGAACGUUGAAGACGACGACGUUGAUAGGCCGGGUGUGUAAGCGCAGCGAUGCGUUGAGCUAACCGGUACUAAUGAACCGUGAGGCUUAACCUUACAACGCCGAAG